This 506-nucleotide ribosomal RNA is filed under the name uncultured bacterium. Its description in RNAcentral is "bacterial SSU rRNA". It matches the Rfam family "Bacterial small subunit ribosomal RNA", at positions 29 to 533 of the family's 1533-position model. The record is from RNAcentral.
AUUGAACGCUGGCGGAAUGCUUUACACAUGCAAGUCGAGCGGCAGCGCGGGGGCAACCCUGGCGGCGAGCGGCGAACGGGUGAGUAACAUAUCGGAACGUACCCAGUCGUGGGGGAUAACUAUCCGAAAGGAUAGCUAAUACCGCAUACGUCCUGAGGGAGAAAGCGGGGGAUCGCAAGACCUCGCGCGAUUGGAGCGGCCGAUAUCGGAUUAGCUAGUUGGUGGGGUAAAGGCUCACCAAGGCGACGAUCCGUAGCGGGUCUGAGAGGACGACCCGCCACACUGGAACUGAGACACGGUCCAGACUCCUACGGGAGGCAGCAGUGGGGAAUUUUGGACAAUGGGGGCAACCCUGAUCCAGCCAUUCCGCGUGAGUGAAGAAGGCCCUAUGGGUCGUAAACUGCUUUUACACCGGAGAAAACCUUCCCUACGUGAGGGGAGCUGAUAGUAUGGUGAGAAUAAGCAUCGGCUAACUUCGUGCCAGCAGCCGCGGUAAUGUACAGUGU